CACCACAGCCAUAUCACCAGGCAGCCCAAGACUGGCUGCCCACUGAAGUGAAGCAGGACUGAGCCUGGUCAGUACCUGGAUGGGAGACCUCCUGGGAAAACUAUAGGUUGCUGCUAGAGG
Molecule: ribosomal RNA, 120 nt
Organism: Sinocyclocheilus grahami
Lineage: Eukaryota; Metazoa; Chordata; Actinopteri; Cypriniformes; Cyprinidae
Source: Ensembl